Molecule: ribosomal RNA, 493 nt
Filed under: uncultured bacterium
Lineage: Bacteria
Description: bacterial SSU rRNA
Rfam family: Bacterial small subunit ribosomal RNA
Source: RNAcentral
ACUCAAAGGAAUAGACGGGGGCCCGCACAAGCAGUGGAGUAUGUGGUUUAAUUCGAAGCAACGCGAAGAACCUUACCAGGUCUUGACAUCCGACUAACGAAGCAGAGAUGCAUUAGGUGCCUUCGGGCAAGUCGAGACAGGUGGUGCAUGGUUGUCGUCAGCUCGUGUCGUGAGAUGUUGGGUUAAGUCCCGCAACGAGCGCAACCCCUACGGUUAGUUGCUACGCAAGAGCACUCUGGCCGGACUGCCGUUGACAAAACGGAGGAAGGUGGGGACGACGUCAAAUCAUCAUGCCCCUUAUGACCUGGGCUACACACGUACUACAAUGGCUGUUAACAGAGGGAAGCGAAGGAGCGAUCCGGAGCAAACCCCCAAAAACAGUCUCAGUUCGGAUUGCAGGCUGCAACCCGCCUGCAUGAAGUCGGAAUUGCUAGUAAUCGCGAAUCAGCAUGUCGCGGUGAAUACGUUCCCGGGCCUUGUACACACCGCCCGU